Molecule: ribosomal RNA, 391 nt
Filed under: uncultured bacterium
Lineage: Bacteria
Description: bacterial SSU rRNA
Rfam family: Bacterial small subunit ribosomal RNA
Source: RNAcentral
AUUGAACGCUGGCGGCAUGCCUUACACAUGCAAGUCGAACGGCAGCGGGCCUUCGGGUGCCGGCGAGUGGCGAACGGGUGAGUAAUGCAUCGGAACGUGCCAUUGAGUGGGGGAUAACGUAGCGAAAGUUACGCUAAUACCGCAUAUUCUGUGAGCAGGAAAGCAGGGGACCGCAAGGCCUUGCGCUCUUUGAGCGGCCGAUGUCAGAUUAGCUAGUUGGUGAGGUAAAGGCUUACCAAGGCGACGAUCUGUAGCGGGUCUGAGAGGAUGAUCCGCCACACUGGAACUGAGACACGGUCCAGACUCCUACGGGAGGCAGCAGUGGGGAAUUUUGGACAAUGGGCGGCAAGCCUGAUCCAGCCAUGCCGCGUGAGUGAAGAAGGCCUCGGUG